This 598-nucleotide small RNA is filed under the name human gut metagenome. The record is from RNAcentral.
UCUAGAAAUGGCGCAUUAUUCUAGUCAAUUUCUUUUAUUAGGAAGACGGGGCUAAAAAUCCGUUAAAGAGCACAUCUGUGAAACAUUUGGUGCUUGCUUCAUACGCCCAGUUUGGGGUGAGUGCUGGAUGGAUGAAAUGUUGGGCGAUCGUAAUGGCAUACGACCCCGACCCAAUAUUUCGUGGAGACCUAUACUUGUUAUUAGCCUAUACAUGUUUUCAUUGACGGACUAGUAACGACUUAGGAUAAAACCUACUUUGCGGGGCAACUUGUGAGUAGUGUAGCUUGUCUUGCGUGAUAUUUGGGGAUAAAAGAUCUACAUAAAGUGACAAUGGCCAACGUUAUUUUAUGAUUGCUUUUUGAAACAAGUGUUGCAAAAAAGAAUUAGUAAUAAAAGAAUUGUUGAGGAAAUCUCCUAGAGUGUUUUGUUAACAUAGGAUUGCAGUGUACACUCAGUGGUAAUCAAGUCAUAUACUAGGUGACAGUAUAUCAAAAACUUUAAAGGGGAACCGCUAUUUGGUAACGAAUAGUAGUUUUUGGGGAAAUCCUACUUGACCUAAGGUGCAAAGUUUACUAUGUUAAUAGCCAUUUAAAAGUAA